GGGUCGUUAGCUCAGUCGGUAGAGCAGCGGACUUUUAAUCCGUUGGUCGCAGGUUCGAUUCCUGCACGGCCUACCA
Molecule: transfer RNA, 76 nt
Filed under: Burkholderiales bacterium
Lineage: Bacteria; Pseudomonadati; Pseudomonadota; Betaproteobacteria; Burkholderiales
Description: tRNA-Lys
Rfam family: tRNA
About the family: Transfer RNA (tRNA) molecules are approximately 80 nucleotides in length. Their secondary structure includes four short double-helical elements and three loops (D, anti-codon, and T loops).
Source: RNAcentral